Small nucleolar RNA from Erigeron canadensis, 98 nucleotides. RefSeq annotates it as small nucleolar RNA snoR27. Lineage: Eukaryota; Viridiplantae; Streptophyta; Magnoliopsida; Asterales; Asteraceae. The transcript has a single exon. The record is from RefSeq and is a predicted model, not a curated record.
AAAGGAUCAGUGAUGUUUAUAUUGAAGAAACUGCGUUAUCUAUCUGUUAAUUCCUUUUAUUAGGAACUGAUGACAAAAUAUUCUUCCUGAGAUCCUCU